Molecule: ribosomal RNA, 94 nt
Filed under: Salmonella enterica subsp. enterica serovar Infantis
Lineage: Bacteria; Pseudomonadati; Pseudomonadota; Gammaproteobacteria; Enterobacterales; Enterobacteriaceae
Also listed under: 165 other names
Description: partial 16S ribosomal RNA
Rfam family: Bacterial small subunit ribosomal RNA
Source: RNAcentral
UUAAAUUGAAGAGUUUGAUCAUGGCUCAGAUUGAACGCUGGCGGCAGGCCUAACACAUGCAAGUCGAACGGUAGCACAGAGAGCUUGCUCUCGG